CGUUCAGAGAUUGCCUCUGUCGUACCUACGACAGUAGAUACGAGAAUGUGAUUAUUGA
RNAcentral lists this non-coding RNA (58 nucleotides) under unclassified sequences. RNAcentral's name for it is "Transposase-1 RNA". It matches the Rfam family "Transposase-1 RNA". From Rfam's summary of the family: Lactobacillales (Firmicutes). Environment (Human Microbiome Project, vagina) The record is from Rfam by way of RNAcentral.